CUCCACCCAAAACAUUCGCAAUCUCUGCGAUCUAGGGUUUUUGAGUUUCUCUUCAUUCCUCUCUUUCUCGAUCUACAAAUUACUAUGUAAUCUCCAAAUUCUCUCCAAAUUCUACCAGAAUUCGUCUGAUUUUUCAUCAAAAUCGAUUUCUUUGCUUAUUAAUUCAAUCAAUUAGGGUGUUGGCAAUUCAAUAAUGAUAAUCUCUUUCCUAUUUCGCUUCUCAUCGUCAUCGCUGGUCACAAAACUUCGCAAUCUUCGAGUUCUCGGCCCUGGUUUGAAUCCCUUUGCUCCCUACAACAUGGCCAAUCACUCCUCUCGCUAAUUGUUUUUGCCACUCUAUUUUUGCGUUUUCUGUUGUCUCAAUCGUGUAAAAAAAAGCCUUGAAAUAUCUCAUCUUCAGAUCUUAUCUAUCGCUUCAAGUUCUAUCGGUAGGUUGAAGUUUUAUCGAUUAAAGUUUUUGGGUUUUGUGUAGUGAGUUAAGGAUAAGAUCAGUCUUGCUGUUUAAAGCUGGAAAUUUGAGGGUUUUCUUUGAAUUUGGAAGCUUCGUAGUUUUCUGGCUCUUUUUAAUAUAUAGGAAAAGGUAUGCCUCAAGACGACCAGUUGGGUUUAACUCGCCGGAGCAGACGCGUGUAUAGGUCUGGGGGCGACAGGGACGAUCGAGGUUGGACUGUGCUUCAUAUUGGUGCCCGAAAAGGUGAUCUCAAGGAGUUUUAGAAUGGGCUCAAGUGCAGAAGAUUAUGAGAGGCAUUGCAUCUGACUUGGACCACAUUCAUACGCGUGCUACUCCUGCCAUUAUACAUGGAGAUCUUAAACCCGACAAUAUUUUGUUGGGCCAGUCUAAAGGAAGUACAUGUGGCUGAGGUUUGUGAAGCCUUUAAAGUGGCUCGAGUCAUGGUUCAGGCCUUACAAGAAAAUGCUGGAAGGUGUGCUAUUUGACAUGAGUGAUGGUGAAGUAAAGAGUCUGUGGUUGGUGGUUGCCAGUGAACCUCAAUUAAUCGUGAUUGUUGGUCGUCGAUGAUUAUAUAUCAGAAAGAGAAAGAGAAGAAGUAAGACGUGGUUUCCGGUCGCAGGAAGAGAAAGAGGUAGAGAAAAAUGAAGGCGCAAAGAAGAACAAAGAAGAAAAAUGCAUAGUAGACUUUUGAGAGUAUCCAAAAGGUUGUGGGACUAAAUAGGCUAUUCAUUUUUCAAAUAGGACUUCCAGGUCGAAGGCAACUGAAAGGGAGGGAGACGUAGUUCGGAGACAACGAGAGAGAGAGAGAGAGAGAGAGAGACGCAUAACCACCAUCACCGGUGAGUUCUCCGCUGUCCUCAGCGAAGAGAGAAAGACGAAACAAGUGCAAAAUGAAAGGAGAGAAGAAGAAAUCUUUUGAGAAGAACGGCGGUCCUUGGCCAUUGUCUCAUGCCAUAGAUUAAACCAGGUUCAUCCUCCAAACUCAUUAUUGAAAGAAUGAAAGCAGGUUAAGAAAUUGAAUUCUAGAUUGAAAAGUUAGGGUUUUUUAUUUGGGGCUUUGAUUUGUAGAUUCUUUUAUCUGCAUUGUUGUCUUUGAGUUGCAUAGUGGUUCUCUAUUUCAAAGUUUGCUUUUA
Non-coding RNA from Camellia sinensis, 1584 nucleotides. Lineage: Eukaryota; Viridiplantae; Streptophyta; Magnoliopsida; Ericales; Theaceae. The record is from RefSeq and is a predicted model, not a curated record.